AGUGAACGCUGGCGGCGUGCUUAACACAUGCAAGUCGAACGAGAAACGGAUUUAGCUUGCUAAAUUGCAGUCUAAGUGGCGCACGGGUGAGUAAUGUAUAGGUAAUAUGCCUCUUACUAAGGGAUAACAAUUGGAAACGAUUGAUAAUACCUUAUAUGCCUUUAAUACGAAAGUAUGCAAGGGAAAGAUUUAUUGGUAAGAGAUUAGCCUGUAUGGUAUCAGCUUGUUGGUGAGGUAAUGGCUCACCAAGGCUAUGACGCCUAACUGGGUUGAGAGGAUGAUCAGUCACACUGCAACUGAGACGCGGUCCAGACCCCUACGGGAGGCAGCAGGGGGGAAUAUUGCACAAUGGACGAAAGUCUGAUGCAGCAACGCCGCGUGGAGGAUGACACAUUUCGGUGCGUAAACUCCUUUUAUAUAGGAAGAGAAUGACGGUACUAUAUGAAUAAGCACCGGCUAACUCCGUGCCAGCCGCCGCAGUAA
RNAcentral lists this ribosomal RNA (483 nucleotides) under uncultured bacterium. RNAcentral's name for it is "partial 16S ribosomal RNA". It matches the Rfam family "Bacterial small subunit ribosomal RNA", at positions 29 to 523 of the family's 1533-position model. The record is from RNAcentral.